This 255-nucleotide long non-coding RNA is filed under the name Vigna radiata. Its description in RNAcentral is "long non-coding RNA (VRAD_LNC018473)". The record is from RNAcentral. Lineage: Eukaryota; Viridiplantae; Streptophyta; Magnoliopsida; Fabales; Fabaceae.
GCACGUAAAAUUUGAGUGUCCAAAGAGCAAGAAAAGUGAAGACAAGAAGGAAAGAAAAUUUCAAAAGAAAAAGAAAGCUUACAUAGCUUGNGAGGAUAAUGCUUCUAGCUCAACAAGCUCAAGUGACACAGAAGAAGAAGCCAACUUAUGCCUUAUGGCAGAUUCUGAAGAUACAGGAAGCUAAGUAAGUGAUUCCAACUUUGAAUCUAAUGAAUUAGAUUUACAAAAGGCUUUCUUUGAUUUGAUGAAUGAAUC